This 279-nucleotide long non-coding RNA is filed under the name Mytilus galloprovincialis (Mediterranean mussel). Lineage: Eukaryota; Metazoa; Mollusca; Bivalvia; Mytilida; Mytilidae. The record is from RNAcentral.
GUGCUUUAGACCCCUAUACACGUCAGUUGGACCAAUUGGAGGGAAGCUACCUCCCGUGGUGCUAAGUUUUUUUUCUGUGGUGCUUAUAUUUUUCUUAAAUGAUAUAUACACCAAAAGACCCCAGGACUUGUGUAGAUUGGACCAUAUGUGCCUGUGGACUAAUGAGCUUAACAAACCAUCUUAGACCCAAUAGAGUGCUUUAGACCCCUAUACACGUCAGUUGGACCAAUUGGAGGGAAGCUACCUCCCGUGGUGCUAAGUUUUUUUUCGGUGGUGCUU